This 519-nucleotide ribosomal RNA is filed under the name Methylobacterium sp. KM2015-L24. Its description in RNAcentral is "bacterial SSU rRNA". It matches the Rfam family "Bacterial small subunit ribosomal RNA", at positions 166 to 719 of the family's 1533-position model. Lineage: Bacteria; Pseudomonadati; Pseudomonadota; Alphaproteobacteria; Hyphomicrobiales; Methylobacteriaceae. The record is from RNAcentral.
AUACCGGAUACGCCCUUUUGGGGAAAGGUUUACUGCCGAAGGAUCGGCCCGCGUCUGAUUAGCUUGUUGGUGGGGUAACGGCCUACCAAGGCGACGAUCAGUAGCUGGUCUGAGAGGAUGAUCAGCCACACUGGGACUGAGACACGGCCCAGACUCCUACGGGAGGCAGCAGUGGGGAAUAUUGGACAAUGGGCGCAAGCCUGAUCCAGCCAUGCCGCGUGAGUGAUGAAGGCCUUAGGGUUGUAAAGCUCUUUUGUCCGGGACGAUAAUGACGGUACCGGAAGAAUAAGCCCCGGCUAACUUCGUGCCAGCAGCCGCGGUAAUACGAAGGGGGCUAGCGUUGCUCGGAAUCACUGGGCGUAAAGGGCGCGUAGGCGGCCGAUUAAGUCGGGGGUGAAAGCCUGUGGCUCAACCACAGAAUUGCCUUCGAUACUGGUUGGCUUGAGACCGGAAGAGGACAGCGGAACUGCGAGUGUAGAGGUGAAAUUCGUAGAUAUUCGCAAGAACACCAGUGGCGAA